This 451-nucleotide ribosomal RNA is filed under the name bacterium WTE2001. RNAcentral describes it as "bacterial SSU rRNA". It matches the Rfam family "Bacterial small subunit ribosomal RNA", at positions 28 to 478 of the family's 1533-position model. The record is from RNAcentral.
GAUGAACGCUGGCGGCGUGCUUAACACAUGCAAGUCGAACGAAGCAGUUUAUUACGAUCCCUUCGGGGUGACGAUUUACUGACUGAGUGGCGGACGGGUGAGUAACGCGUGGGUAACCUGCCUUGUACAGGGGGACAACAGUUGGAAACGACUGCUAAUACCGCAUAAGCGCACAGCAUCGCAUGAUGCAGUGUGAAAAGUUUUUUCGGUACAAGAUGGACCCGCGUCUGAUUAGCUAGUUGGUGAGGUAACGGCCCACCAAGGCGACGAUCAGUAGCCGACCUGAGAGGGUGACCGGCCACAUUGGGACUGAGACACGGCCCAAACUCCUACGGGAGGCAGCAGUGGGGAAUAUUGCACAAUGGGCGCAAGCCUGAUGCAGCGACGCCGCGUGAGCGAAGAAGUAUUUCGGUAUGUAAAGCUCUAUCAGCAGGGAAGAUAAUGACGGUAC